UGGGGAAUAUUGGACAAUGGGCGCAAGCCUGAUCCAGCCAUGCCGCGUGAGUGAUGAAGGCCCUAGGGUUGUAAAGCUCUUUCACCGGUGAAGAUAAUGACGGUAACCGGAGAAGAAGCCCCGGCUAACUUCGUGCCAGCAGCCGCGGUAAUACGAAGGGGGCUAGCGUUGUUCGGAUUUACUGGGCGUAAAGCGCACGUAGGCGGACUUUUAAGUCAGGGGUGAAAUCCCGGGGCUCAACCCCGGAACUGCCUUUGAUACUGGAAGUCUUGAGUAUGGUAGAGGUGAGUGGAAUUCCGAGUGUAGAGGUGAAAUUCGUAGAUAUUCGGGGGAAAACAAGUGGCGAAGGCGGCUCACUGGACCAUUACUGACGCUGUGGUGCGAAAGCGUGGGGAGCAAACAGG
Molecule: ribosomal RNA, 404 nt
Filed under: Actinomycetes bacterium
Lineage: Bacteria; Bacillati; Actinomycetota; Actinomycetes
Description: Actinobacteria bacterium partial 16S ribosomal RNA
Rfam family: Bacterial small subunit ribosomal RNA
Source: RNAcentral